RNAcentral lists this ribosomal RNA (742 nucleotides) under Hebeloma vaccinum. Its description in RNAcentral is "eukaryotic LSU rRNA". The stretch from base 230 to 383 matches the Rfam family "5.8S ribosomal RNA". Lineage: Eukaryota; Fungi; Basidiomycota; Agaricomycetes; Agaricales; Hymenogastraceae. The record is from RNAcentral.
UUGGUGUGGUUGUCGCUGGCCUUCUUGGGGGCAUGUGCACACCUACCAUCCUCAUCUCUCCACCUGUGCACCUCUUGUAGACUUGGAAUUGAUUAUCCGAGGCAACUCGGUCGUGAGGAAUGCUAGCACUUAGCUAGCUUUCUUUGCAUUUCCAGGUCUAUGUUUUUCAUAUACCCCAUUGUAUGUAACAGAAUGUAUCAUUGGGCCCUUGUGCCUAUAAACCUUAUACAACUUUCAGCAACGGAUCUCUUGGCUCUCGCAUCGAUGAAGAACGCAGCGAAAUGCGAUAAGUAAUGUGAAUUGCAGAAUUCAGUGAAUCAUCGAAUCUUUGAACGCACCUUGCGCUCCUUGGUAUUCCGAGGAGCAUGCCUGUUUGAGUGUCAUUAAAUUCUCAACCUUUAUCAACUUUUGUUGAUAAUGGCUUGGAUGUGGGGGUCUAUUUUGCUGGCUUCACAGAUAGUCAGCUCCCCUUAAAUGCAUUAGCCGGUGCCCCGCGUGGACUGUCUAUUGGUGUGAUAAUUAUCUACGCUAUGGACAUCUGCAAUCAUAUGGGUUUGCACUGCUUCCAAUAGUCUGUUGAUUCAGACAAUACAUGACAAUUUGACCUCAAAUCAGGUAGGACUACCCGCUGAACUUAAGCAUAUCAAUAAGCGGAGGAAAAGAAACUAACAAGGAUUCCCCUAGUAACUGCGAGUGAAGCGGGAAAAGCUCAAAUUUAAAAUCUGGCGGUCUCUGGCCGUCC